Molecule: transfer RNA, 88 nt
Filed under: Alphaproteobacteria bacterium
Lineage: Bacteria; Pseudomonadati; Pseudomonadota; Alphaproteobacteria
Description: tRNA-Ser
Rfam family: tRNA
About the family: Transfer RNA (tRNA) molecules are approximately 80 nucleotides in length. Their secondary structure includes four short double-helical elements and three loops (D, anti-codon, and T loops).
Source: RNAcentral
GGAGGGAUGGCAGAGUGGUCGAAUGCGGCGGUCUUGAAAACCGUUGAGGCGCAAGCCUCCGGGGGUUCGAAUCCCUCUCCCUCCGCCA